This is a long non-coding RNA of Carassius carassius (crucian carp), 138 nucleotides long. RefSeq lists it as uncharacterized. Lineage: Eukaryota; Metazoa; Chordata; Actinopteri; Cypriniformes; Cyprinidae. The record is from RefSeq and is a predicted model, not a curated record. The transcript is spliced from 3 exons.
ACUAAAUCUUCCACCAUCAUCAAGUCUUUCUCAUCUCACACUUCUUGUGAAGUUUCUCAUAAUGAGGCAUUUAAUCUCAUUGUGCAUGUCUCUACUGCUGCUUAAUAAUGGUGAAAUAAUCAAUGGGCAAAAACAAGG